GGGUGUCGCUAACUUCUAACUUUUACUAUUGAUGAUAGAUGGGGAUGAAUAUUGUAUUUUGAAUUAAACUGCAAACAAAUCGUAAAUCCUCAAUUAAAGUUUCAAUAAGGUUAUUUCAUCAGCGGUGUAGUUAAAAGUAUGGAAUGGGAUUGACUCCAGUUACUUGUGUCGGAAAGACUGAGGGAUCCAUGCCAACUCCAGGAUCAAGUCCAUGUUUUACACAUUUCUGAUUAAUUAACAGUCCAGAGGCAGGUGUGAUUAAUCUUUAUCCGCCUUCAAUUAGUCUCCUUUAAAAAUUCCUCUGGCAGCAGUAUUGCGUCUUUGUCCUUAAAUACCGGCUUUGCAGCAAGAGGGAAAAUAUUCCCGGGAUGUUUCACUUCAUUUGGGAAACAGAAUAUCGGACACGGUUUCUACCUAUUUAGAUAGGAACAGUUCGAAACGAGAAAAGGCAUCAGAGCUUCAGAAUAGUUAAGAAGACGGCCAGUAACUGUAUUUUAGAAAAGGCCUUCUGUCUUGUAAAGAAAAGUUGAAUUCAAACUAAACCAGUAACUUUCUUUUUUUUUUUUGUAACAGGCGAAAUGGAACGGAUCAAUGUUGCUGCUAUUUAAAAUGGCUACCUGUAUCUUUAGUGCUUGCUCAGGUCUGUUAGUGGCGUUCCAGCAGGUGUCUUAUUCCCUUGUUCCUCCUCUCCAGCUCCCCGGCCUUCCUGUCCUCUACAACAGCCUGGACGCCGAAGCGCAGAGCUCCCGUGUGGUGUGAAACUGGACAGAUGAGCGGUCAGUUCGAAGCAGCAGCAGUUGCUCCCACAGAGCAACCGGACUCACCUCGCGGUCCCAGGUGCCCACCGUCUCUUCGGCCGGCUGUCCUGACUGGAGCGUUUCCUUCCCGGGGCUCCAGAUUGCGGACCGCCGGAGCGUCUGGAUAAUAGCCGCCGGGUUACGCCUGUACCGUUUCGUUUUGUAAUAAACUAGUGUUCUUGGAUUGUUUCUUAAACUAAAUUGUUUAGGUAUCUUGGUGGGGUCACUUUAUGUAGGAAGAGUGCAUCUAACAGGCGAUCAUCCUCCUGUUUCUUUAUUGAGCCUACAUGUGUUUCCUGUGCAGGUGCCGGCUGCUCAGACUGGCUGUCAAUCAUAAAUUUACUGUAG
Molecule: non-coding RNA, 1145 nt
Organism: Lepisosteus oculatus (spotted gar)
Lineage: Eukaryota; Metazoa; Chordata; Actinopteri; Semionotiformes; Lepisosteidae
Source: RefSeq, a predicted model, not a curated record